ACCACUGGGAGUCUCCAUGAUGGCCUGGGUGAUGCUCCUCCUCUCCCUCCUCAGUACCAUCUCAGGUGCCCUCUCCCAGCCUGUCCUGACACAGUCACCCCCUGCAUCUGUCUCCCUGGGAAAAGAAGCCAAGAUCACCUGUACCUUGAGCAGUGGCUACAGUGGCUAUGGUGUUGAAUGGUACCAGCAGAAGCCAGGGAAGGCCCCCCAGUUUGUGAUGCAUGUGGGCAAUAGUGGGAUGAUUGGAUCCAGGGGGGAUGGGAUCCCUGAUCGCUUCUCAGGCUCUGGCUCUGGUCUGGAUCGAUUCCUGUCUAUUAACAACAUCCAGACAGAAGAUGAGUCUGACUUUAUCUGUGGGACAAACCAUGGCAGUGGGAGCAGCUACGUGUAA
This is a non-coding RNA of Choloepus didactylus (southern two-toed sloth), 391 nucleotides long. The record is from the annotation of a RefSeq genome assembly. Lineage: Eukaryota; Metazoa; Chordata; Mammalia; Pilosa; Megalonychidae.